GAUGAACGCUGGCGGCGUGCCUAAUACAUGCGAGUCGAGCGAACAGAUGAGGAGCUUGCUCCUCUGACGUUAGCGGCGGACGGGUGAGUAACACGUGGAUAACCUACCUAUAAGACUGGGAUAACUUCGGGAAACCGGAGCUAAUACCGGAUAAUAUAUUGAACCGCAUGGUUCAAUAGUGAAAGACGGUUUUGCUGUCACUUAUAGAUGGAUCCGCGCCGCAUUAGCUAGUUGGUAAGGUAACGGCUUACCAAGGCGACGAUGCGUAGCCGACCUGAGAGGGUGGUCGGCCACACUGGAACUGAGACACGGUCCAGACUCCUACGGGAGGCAGCAGUAGGGAAUCUUCCGCAAUGGGCGAAAGCCUGACGGAGCAACGCCGCGUGAGUGAUGAAGGUCUUCGGAUCGUAAAACUCUGUUAUUAGGGAAGAACAAAUGUGUAAGUAACUAUGCACGUCUUGACGGUACCUAAUCAGAAAGCCACGGCUAACUACGUG
This 497-nucleotide ribosomal RNA is filed under the name uncultured bacterium. RNAcentral describes it as "partial 16S ribosomal RNA". It matches the Rfam family "Bacterial small subunit ribosomal RNA", at positions 28 to 507 of the family's 1533-position model. The record is from RNAcentral.